GAGUUUGAUCAUGGCUCAGAAUCAAACGCUGGCGGCGUGCCUCAGACAUGCAAGUCGUACGAUUAAGCUUUCCUUCUGGAAAGAUAUAAAGUGGCGUACGGGUGAGUAACACGUAAGUAAUCUACCUUUGGGUGGGGGAUAACUCAGGGAAACUUGAGCUAAUACCGCAUAAUGCAUCGGCUUCUUUUGAAGACAGUUGUUAAAGCUUUUAUGUGCCUGAAGAGGAGCUUGCGGCUCAUUAGCUAGUUGGUAAGGUAAUGGCUUACCAAGGCAACGAUCUGUAGCCGACCUGAGAGGGUGGUCGGUCACACUGACACUGAAUAACGGGUCAUACUCCUACGGGAGGCAGCGGUCGGUAAUUUUGGGCGAUGGGCGAAAGCCUGACCCAACACCGCCGCGUGAAGGAUGAACUCUUUCGGGAUGUAAACUUCCGAAAUAUAGGAAGAAUAAAUGACGGUACUAUAUCUAAAGUCCGGCUAACUACGUGCCACCAGCCGCGGUAAUACGUAGGGACCAAGCGUUGUUCGGAUUUACUGGGCGUAAAGGGUGCGUAAGCGGCGUGAUAAGUCACUUGUGAAAUCUCCGAGCUUAACUCGGAACUGCCAAGUGAUGCUAUUGUGCUAUAGUACAGAAAGGGUAACUGGAAUUCUUGGUGUAGCGGUGAAAUGCGUAGAUAUCAAGAAGAACACCUGAUGCGAAGGCGAGUUACUAGGCUGAUACUGACGCUGAAGUACCAAAGCUAGGGGAGCGAACGGGAUUAGAUACCCCGGUAGUCCUAGCCCUAAACGAUGAUUGCUUGGUGUCUGGAGU
This 810-nucleotide ribosomal RNA is filed under the name uncultured bacterium. RNAcentral's name for it is "bacterial SSU rRNA". It matches the Rfam family "Bacterial small subunit ribosomal RNA", at positions 9 to 830 of the family's 1533-position model. The record is from RNAcentral.